GAUAAACGCUGGCGGCGCACAUAAGACAUGCAAGUCGAACGGACUUAACUCGAAGUUUACUUUGAGAGCGGUUAGUGGCGGACUGGUGAGUAACGCGUGAGCAACCUGCCUACUAGAGGGGAAUAACAGUGAGAAAUCACUGCUAAUACCGCAUAUGCUUACACUAUCACAUGAUAGAGUGAGGAAAGGAGUAAUCCACUAGUAGAUGGGCUCGCGUCUGAUUAGCUAGUUGGUGGGGUAAUGGCCUACCAAGGCGACGAUCAGUAGCCGACCUGAGAGGGUGAUCGGCCACAUUGGGACUGAGACACGGCCCAA
This 315-nucleotide ribosomal RNA is filed under the name uncultured bacterium. RNAcentral's name for it is "bacterial SSU rRNA". It matches the Rfam family "Bacterial small subunit ribosomal RNA", at positions 28 to 334 of the family's 1533-position model. The record is from RNAcentral.